ACCCGCACAAGCGGUGGAUGAUGUGGUUUAAUUCGAUGCAACGCGAAAAACCUUACCCACCUUUGACAUGGCAGGAAUCCUAAAGAGAUUUGGAGUGCUCGAAAGAGAACCUGCACACAGGUGCUGCAUGGCUGUCGUCAGCUCGUGUCGUGAGAUGUUGGGUUAAGUCCCGCAACGAGCGCAACCCUUGCCAUUAGUUGCUACGAAAGGGCACUCUAAUGGGACUGCCGGUGACAAACCGGAGGAAGGUGGGGAUGACCGUCAAGUCCUCAUGGCCCUUAUAGGUGGGGCUACACACGUCAUACAAUGGAUGGUACAAAGGGUCGCCAACCCGCGAGGGGGAGCCAAUCCCAUAAAGCCAUUCGUAGUCCGGAUCGCAGUCUGCAACUCGACUGCGUGAAGUCGGAAUCGCUAGUAAUCGUGGAUCAGAAUGUCACGGUGAAUACGUUCCCGGGUCUU
This 459-nucleotide ribosomal RNA is filed under the name uncultured Comamonadaceae bacterium. RNAcentral's name for it is "bacterial SSU rRNA". It matches the Rfam family "Bacterial small subunit ribosomal RNA", at positions 919 to 1382 of the family's 1533-position model. Lineage: Bacteria; Pseudomonadati; Pseudomonadota; Betaproteobacteria; Burkholderiales; Comamonadaceae. The record is from RNAcentral.